UUGCGUAGAUGACGUGCCGUAUAGUGGGGGACAACAUCGUGAAAACGGUGCUAAUACCGCAUAUGAUAGAUGACAUUGAAAAAAUCUAAGAAAGGGGGCUUCGGCUCUCGCUAUAUGAUCGGUCUGCGUGACAUUAGCUUGAUGGUGGGGUAAUGGCCUACCAUGGCGACGAUGUCUAACUGGUCUGAGAGGAUGAUCAGUCACACUGGAACUGAGACACGGUCCAGACUCCUACGGGAGACAGCAGUAGGGAAUAUUGCACAAUGGGGGAAACCCUGAUGCAGCAAUGCCACGUGAGUGAGGAAGGUUUUCGGAUUGUAAAGCUCUGUCCUAUAGGAAGAACGGUAUUAUGGUUAAUACCCAUAGUAUUUGACGGUACUAUAGAAGAAAGCACCGGCUAACUCCGUGCCAGCAGCCGCGGUAAUACGGAGGGUGCAAGCGUUGUUCGGAUUUACUGGGCGUAAAGCGCGCGCAGGCGGAUUAGCAAGUCAGAUGUGAAAUCCCGGGGCUCAACCUCGGAACUGCGUCUGAAACUGUUAGUCUAGAAUCUCAGAGGGGGCAGGGGAAUUUCAUGUGUAGGGGUAAAAUCCGUAGAGAUGUGAAGGAACACCGGUGGCGAAGGCGCCUGCCUGGAUGAGUAUUGACGCUGAGGCGCGAAAGCGUGGGGAGCAAACAGGAUUAGAUACCCUGGUAGUCCACGCCGUAAACGAUGAGUACUAGCCUUUGGAGGUAUUGACCCCUUCAGGAGCAAAGCUAACGCAUUAAGUACUCCGCCCGGGAAGUACGGUCGCAAGACUAAAACUCAAAGGAAUUGACGGGGGCCCGCACAAGCGGUGGAUUAUGUGGUUUAAUUCGAAGCGACGCGCAGAACCUUACCUAGGCUUGAAAUCCUCAGAAUUUGACGUAAUUGUCGAAGUGCCCGCAAGGGAAUUGAGUGACAGGUGCUGCAUGGCUGUCGUCAGCUCGUGUUGUGAAAUGUUGGGUUAAGUCUCGCAACGAGCGCAACCCCUAUCUUUAGUUGCCAGCAUUAAGUUGGGCACUCUAGAGAGACUGCCCGGGUUAACCGGGAGGAAGGUGGGGAUGACGUCAAGUCCUCAUGGCCCUUAUGCCUAGGGCUACACACGUAAUACAAUGGUACAUACAGAGGGAAGCGACCCGGCGACGGUUAGCAAAUCUCAAAAAGUGUAUCUCAGUCCGGAUUGGAGUCUGCAACUCGACUCCAUGAAGUUGGAAUCGCUAGUAAUCGGAGAUCAGCACGCUCCGGUGAAUACGUUCCCGGGCCUUGUACACACCGCCCGUCACACCAUGGGAGUUGUUUUCAUUUUAAGACGUGACUCUAACUUCGGAGGAGAGCGUCUACAGUGGGAGCGAUGACUGGGGUGAAGUCGGAACAAGGUA
This 1398-nucleotide ribosomal RNA is filed under the name metagenome. Its description in RNAcentral is "bacterial SSU rRNA". It matches the Rfam family "Bacterial small subunit ribosomal RNA". The record is from RNAcentral.